AGUGAACGCUGGCGGUAGGCCUAACACAUGCAAGUCGAACGGCAGCACAGUAAGAGCUUGCUCUUACGGGUGGCGAGUGGCGGACGGGUGAGGAAUACAUCGGAAUCUACUUUUUCGGGGGGGAUAACGUAGGGAAACUUACGCUAAUACCGCAUACGACCUACGGGUGAAAGCAUGGGAUCUUCUGACCUUGCGCGAUUGAAUGCGCCGAUGUCGGAUUAGCUAGUUGGCGGGGUAAAGGCCCACCAAGGCGACGAUCCGUAGCUGGUCUGAGAGGAUGAUCAGCCACACUGGAACUGAGACACGGUCCAGACUCCUACGGGAGGCAGCAGUGGGGAAUAUUGGACAAUGGGCGCAAGCCUGAUCCAGCCAUACCGCGUGGGUGAAGAAGGCCUUCGGGUUGUAAAGCCCUUUUGUUGGGAAAGAAAAGCAGCAGGUUAAUACCCCGCUGUUCUGACGGUACCCAAAGAAUAAGCACCGGCUAACUUCGUG
This 492-nucleotide ribosomal RNA is filed under the name uncultured bacterium. Its description in RNAcentral is "partial 16S ribosomal RNA". It matches the Rfam family "Bacterial small subunit ribosomal RNA", at positions 29 to 507 of the family's 1533-position model. The record is from RNAcentral.